AGAAAUAAUUAAUAAUAAAAGGAUCUCUCAUUGUGCAAUAUUUGUGUGAUGACAUAGGGUGAUAGUAUAUAGAUGAUUGUACUGAGAUUUCUUCUUGCAGGACGUAAUAAACACAGGAUGCUUAAACAGACUAGCAGACCUGGUGUAAGUAUAUUAAAAAAAUCCUUACGUAAACGGUAUUCCGACAAUUGGGAAGUUAGUAUCGUUUAUCAAUUAACAAUAAACAUGAUAAAGCAACGAGAUGAUUCCAGUAAAUAAACCUUUUUUUACCCCGAUUUAAUUUCCGUCUAGCUGCAAAUCGUGAAAAUAAAUUAAAUGUUUCCGCAUAAAAAAACUUUAAAAAAUAAAUGGUCCAAUUCUCAACAAGUACAUUGUACUUAUUUCUAUCUCUAUGGGUAGAAUCCGUUUGAAAAUAUUUGCUUCUAUCCCCGUGUGUAUUUGGUUAAUUGAUAAAAUGGUAUAUUGUUAUUUAUACAGUCACCUAGAAAGCUAGGAUUUAGAUACAGUUUGUGUCGUUUUGCCAUGCGUUGACCUCAAACAUUUUUACAGGUAUACUAAUAUAAUCACCAUGUUUUUCUCUGCGGUAGAAAUAUCAAUUAAAUACUGGUUCGAAUGUUUUAUGUGUUUGAAAAAAAAAAAAAAAAUACCCGCACCGUUACUGGCAUUAGCAUUGAGAUUAUAAAGUCAAAGACUCAAGUACGUACUGAGUGCCCAGCGCUUUGCAACAACUAUUUAGGGGACAUGAUGUGAUAUAAUUUGUCUCCAUACAACAAACUCAACUUCUUAUUUAGUAUUGUAAAAGUCGUCUUUGGAAUUUUCAAAAUCCAAAUAGAUAUUUGAAAUCCGUAAUAGCGACUGCAAUAAACAUUCUAAAGUCACGCAGGUUAAUACAACAGUCCGGAAGUGGACAGAGUUUUAACGAGAUACCUGUAGGGCUGUAUGUAUAUAGUAAGACACCCAAAUGCAGGAUAAAGAAAGUUCGGAAGAGGGUGUCCCCCUAUUAGUGGGUGCUGCAGGUAAUACUCGGUAUGAGGAAAAAGUUGACAAGAUAUAACAUCGAGUUGGUGACUGACAAAAAUCCUUGGUCGGAUAUUUUAGGUUAGCUUAUGUCAUCUGUUUCUUUGUUUCUGAAUGUAGCUGAAUUUAAAAGUUAAUUGCCUUAAAUUGUUAAACAGUUUAUGAUCCAAGAGAUACGUUGUAUGCCUAAUGAAACUGCUUUUAUGUCAUGACCUUCUAGACAAGACAUUAACCUAGCAUGGGAAAGACAGCAAAGGGAGUACACUGUCACGGUUAUGCUGUGUUAUGACGAUAAGUUAAAAACUUCAGUCAUUGAGAACGCACAUAAACCAAGAUGUUUUCGAAACUAAUAUGACUGGGAAGGCUAACGUAUUUUCACUGAAUGGGAAAGUUUAACUCUCGGGAUAUGCGGAUGAAAUCUAGACACAUUGUUAUUUUUCUUGAAAAUGCAUCUUUUUUUGUCGCACAAUUAAAGACUUAGUAAUGCCGAAUCGAAGUCCUUUCCGGCAAAUUCGAUUUCUAAACUACAGCCCUUGAUUUGAGUAUCAUUUGUGACUUUAGAAAGCACAUUUUUAAACAUACAUGUAUACCGCACAAAGUUACAAUUGUUUAAGGACUGAAAUUUGCAAAGAAAUAAACGUUUUCAAUGAAUUCAUGUGAUGUCACGGCAAUAUAACAAAUCCACCACAAUUGAAUUAUGCUGUCGUGAUGCGGGAUUUACUUUAGAGGCUGUGUCGAGUCUUUCGAACCGAUGAUGAAAUAGCGUUAGCUGAUUCAGUGCAACAGUUAAGGUCAUCUGACUCGAGUGUGCAAUAAUGCGGAUGUUAAUGACAAUUUCGCCACGGAAUCAGGGUUAGACAAAUUUGUUAAUAUACGUGUGAUCCGUAAUCAGACAAUGAUGUAGAAACAGAGAUUUCAACACAGGUUUGGACUUAUCAACAAAGUUGCAUUUUUCUUUUUCUAUUUCUAAGGAUAGUCGCUACUUAGAAAUAAAUCCAAUGACAGAAUAUAUUAUAAAAUAUAAAAAUGUUAUUAUAUUUAAAACGAUUUAAGUUUUAGUUUUUACCGCUUUAUCUUACUGUUGAUUUUUAUUUGUAAAUAAUCAAUUUGCUUUAAUCUAGAAUUUUAGUUAAUUGAAGGACCUUUUGUCUGUCUGAUUACGGAUCACACAGAUCACACGUUUAAAAUAUGCUUUAAAUUGUAAAAAUAUUCGAAUAAGCUCUUGCGCGAUAUCAGCUUUUUUUGUGCUAAUACGCAAAGCAAACAACAACCAAUCAAUUAAUCAAAUGACCGAUGACGUCAUUGUGAAAUGUAAACUAGCUACAAGUCAGACAUCAAUGGAUUAUUAUUUCUCUCUGAAAUGAAAUAGAUAAACAGUUUUGAACUUGCACUUGAUAAUUACAAUUAAAGUAAUAUUUUUCUGCAUCUAUGAAUAAACUCAUCAUAAAUACCAGGAUUGAGAUUUAUUAUUUGUGCGUUUCAUCUACAAAAACUCAUCAGUGACACUCAAAUGAAGAAAAAAUAAAAAAGGUCAAAAUAAAGUAGGAAGUUAAAGAGUAUGGAGGACCAACAAUUCCUAAAAUUUCAUUUUAAUAUAUUUUAUUUUUAUUUUAUUUUACAUUAAAAAUACUUAUAAUCUGUUGUAUUACUUUGGUUCGUCCUCUGUGUCAAAGCGAUUUUAAACUGUCAAUUUCCGUUUACCUCUACAAUCUAUUGUCCUAUAGGUUCUAGGUGUGGACAGGUUUCUCUACAUAAACAACUAUUAUACACUUAGAAGGGUUUAAAAAUUACACCCAUUAGAGGGCCAAAGGCAUGACAAUUACAUGUCAUAACACCAAUAUAAUGAUGACAAUAAAAUUUACAUAAAAAUUAAAAAUAGACCAAAACAUUGCACACAACAAAUGACCUCAAGUGCCCCUGUCUUCAGUUCCAUAGACUGAUUAAUAAAGGCGCCUUAAGAUUUUACUUUAUGACUAGAGAUUGGAAUUAAUAUAUAUUUUAUUUUAUUAUCAGAAACAUCUUUGUAUUGAGUUUUAAUCACUUAAAAUGACGGGUCUUAAAUCUUCAUUUAUUUUACAUAAUAAAAACAUUCAUCAUCAAGAACAUUGUACUUGCAACAAAGACUAGGGGAUGUCACAUCAAAUUUUUGUGUAUGUUCAUUUUUUAUUUUAUAUGGUUGAACUAAAGAAGUUCGCUAUUUUGGUCGAGAGAUGAUAUUUUAAUGUCAUAUAUUUUUUCUAUGUCUUUGCUGAAAUUCAUUUUUAUAGUAUUUUUUACCGAAAUUCUUAGACUGCAUUUUUGUUUUUUGGUUACAUCUUUGGGUUGGCUAGUAUUAUUAUCGGACCUAACAUGAUUUACAUAUGUGUACCAUGAGUGUAUAUCUUAAUCAUAAAGUGAUUUAGAGAGAGAUAAUCUGACUCAUGGUAAUUGCACAUCAAUAACGACGCUCUUCGCAUUUAAGAAGCAUAGUGUCGUUUAUUUUUAUCACGUUAUAUUAGUAUUGAUUUUUAUUUAAAAACUAAAAAAAAAAAAUACGUUAGACUGGAUGUUUAGUUUAUGUAAUGACCUUUUGCCUGACUUUAAAAUAUACUUUAAACUGACAAAGUAUUUGAAUUGGCUACUGCCGCUAUUUAUCCAUUUUGAGCUCAUGUGGCUUAAAGCAAACACCAAUCAAUCUAUCUUAAAUUAUUCAAAAAAUUGUACGGUCUCAGUUUUCUUAACGUACAUAAAUUAAUUAAAUAACCUUUGUGUAUACAUGUGUACUUCAAACAUCAGUUGUUGUGAUAAUUAUACUCAAAGUAAUUCGUAUUACAAUAUAAUAUUUGAAAGUUAUUUUCUUCUUUUAAAUCGAAGGCACAUAAGGCGACAACAAAACGUGUCUCUAUAUUUAAUUGUAGAUGAAAAAUACACAAUUUGAAAUGUCUAUAAAUUUACUCGUUUAUCAUACAUGAUAUGCAAUUCGGUAGUAGUGGCAUUAAGGCCUGGUUUUGGCCCAAGAAAAUAAAAUGUUUGAUAACUUUUUCAAAUUGGAACAUAAUCUUUAGAAAUGCAUAGGGUCAAGAAAUAUAAAUGAAAAACAUUAAGAUUCUUAUGUGAUGACGUCACAAUUACGUCAUAAUAUAUACUGUUUUUAGCUCACCUGUCCCGAAGGGACAAGUGAGCUUAUGCCAUCACUUGGCGUCCGUCGUCGUCCGUCGUCUGUCGUCUGUCGUCGUCUGUCGUCGUAAACUAUUUCAAGAAUAUUCUCCUCUGAAACUACUGGGCCAAAUACUUUCAAACUUUAACUGAAUGUUCCUUAGGGUAUCUAAUUUAUAAAUUGUAUCCGAAGUUUUGAUCUAUCAACAAACAUGGUCGCCAUUGCUAAAAAUAGAACAUAGGGGUCAAAUGCAGUUUUUGGCUUAUAAAUCAAAAACCAAAGCAUUUAGAGCAAAUUUGACUGGGGUAAUAUUGUUUAUCAGGUCAAGAUCUAUCUGCCCUGAAAUUUUCAGAUGAAUCAGACAACCUGUUGUUGGGUUGCUGCCCCUCAAUUGGUAAUUUUAAGGAAAUUUUGCUGUUUUUGGUUAUUAUCUUGAAUAUUAUUAUAGAUAGAGAUAAACUGUAAACAGCAAUAAUGUUCAGCAAAGUAAGAUUUACAAAUAAGUCAAUAUGACGGAAAUGGUCAGUUGACCCCUUUAGGAGUUAUUGCCCCUUAUAGUCAAUUUUUAACCAUUUUUCGUAAAUCUUAGUAAUCUUUUACAAAAAUCUUCUCUUCUGAAACUACUGGGCCAAAUACUUCCAACUUUAACUGAAUGUUCCUUAGGGUAUCUAGUUUUGUAAAUUGUAUCCGAAGUUGUGAUCUAUCAACAAACAUGGUCGCCAUUGCUAAAAAUAGAACAUAGGGGUCAAAUGCAGUUUUGGCUUAUAACUCAAAAACCAAAGCAUUUAGAGCAAAUCUGACAUGGGAUAAUAUUGUUUAUCAGGUCAAGAUCUAUCUGCCCUGAAAUUUUCAGAUGAAUCAGACAACCUGUGUUGGGUUUACUGCCCCUGAAUUGGUAAUUUUAAAGAAAUUUUGCUGUUUUUGGUUAUUAUCUUGAAUAUUAUUAUAGAUAGAGAUAAACUGUAAACAGCAAUAAUGUUCAGCAAAGUAAGAUUUACAAAUAAGUCAACAUGACGGAAAAUGGUCAGUUGACCCCUUUAGGAGUUUAUUGCCCUUUAUAGUCAAUUUUUAACCAUUUUUCGUAAAUCUUAGUAAUCUUUUACAAAAAUCUUCUCUUCUGAAACUACUGGGCCAAAUACUUCCCAACUUUAACUGAAUGUUCCUUAGGGUAUCUAGUUUGUAAAUUGUAUCCGAAGUUGUGAUCUAUCAACAAACAUGGUCGCCAUUGCUAAAAAUAGAACAUAGGGGUCAAAUGCAGUUUUUGGCUUAUAACUCAAAAACCAAAGCAUUUAGAGCAAAUCUGACGGGAUAAUAUUGUUUAUCAGGUCAAGAUCUAUUUGCCCUGAAAUUUUCAGAUGAAUCAGACAACUGUUGUUGGGUUACUCCCCUGAAUUGUAAUUUUAAAGAAAUUUUGCUGUUUUUGGUUAUUAUCUUGAAUAUUAUUAUAGAUGAGAUAAACUGUAAACAGCAAUAAUGUUCAGCAAAGUAAGAUUUACAAAUAAGUCAACAUGACGGAAAUGGUCAGUUGACCCCUUAGGAGUUAUUGCCCUUUAUAGUCAAUUUUUUAACCAUUUUUCGUAAAUCUUAGUAAUCUUUUACAAAAAUCUUCUCCUCUGAAACUACUGGGCCAAAUACUUCCAAACUUUAACUGAAUGUUCCUUAGGGUAUCUAGUUUGUAAAUUGUAUCCGAAGUUAUGAUCUAUCAACAAAACAUGGUCGCCAUUGCUAAAAAUAGAACAUAGGGUCAAAAUGCAGUUUUUGCUUAUAACUCAAAAACCAAAGCAUUUAGAGCAAAUCUGACGUUGGGUAAGAUUGUUUAUCAGGUCAAGAUCUAUCUGCCCUGAAAUUUUCAGAUGAAUCAGACAACCUGUUGUUGGGUUGCUGCCCCUGAAUUGAUAAUUUUAAGGAAAUUUUGCUGUUUUUGUUUAUUAUCUUGAAUAUAAUUAUAGAUAGAAAUAAACUGUAAACAGCAAUAAUGUUCAGCAAAGUAAGAUCUUCAAUUAAGUCAAUUUGACCAAAAUUGUCAAUUGACCCCUUAAGGAGUUAUUGCCCUUUAAAGACUUUUUUCACAAUUUGUUCAUCAUGUUGACUUACUUUAAAAAAUCUUCUCCUUUGAAACUGCUGUAUCAAUUUCAGCCAAACUUAGGCUAAAUGAGUUUCAGAGUAUCUAGUAUAAAUUUUAUAUUUUAUUUCCUUGUAUGUCAAGAACAUAGGAGAAAAUUAUAAUUUUUUUUGGCUUUUGAAGAAAAUAGAACGAUCCAAAAAACAUUUAAAUAAUUGAAAAGCCAAAAUAAUCAUUGAUGAGAGAUUUAACCAAAAGAAUUAAGGUGGGCGAUUAAGGCUCUUGAGAGCCUCUUGUUACAAAAACGAUGAAAAUUCAGAAUUUAUGCAGUUUUCUAUAUUUAUUUCUGUUUCAUCAAAUUUUUAAGUAUAUUUUCGAUUGGAAAAGUAUGUGCGCAGCCAAGAAACAACAAAAUAAUUUAACUGAAGCUUUAUCAUUACUAUUGACAAAUCUCACCAAAUAUAAAGUUGUUUCUUGGGUGCGCACAUACUUUUCCAAUCGAAAAUAUACUUAAAAAUUUGAUGAAAAACAAGGAAAAUCACAAAAUUUUACAAAAUAUGCCAAUUAAGAUAAGACAUGAUUUGUUGUCAUGGUAACUUGUUUAAUGUCCAAAAUUAUUUUGUUUUUCUGAAUACCUUCUACCUGAGAUACUUUUCAGUAAUUUUAAAAUAUGUAUGAUAACUUUUAAAUUUGCAGUAAUUUUUGGGCCAAAUAAGGGCCUUAUUGCCCCUACUCCUUUCCAAAUCACUGUCUUGUAAAGCAGUUAUUAAUCCUAAAUCUUAUAUAGCAUGUCGAAUAUACUUUACGAUCUUUAUUGAUACCAAAAUAGUCACUAGACGAUAGCUAAUGGCAUUCAUUCUGUAUAUACAUCCCACACGAUUGUUAAUAGUUACAUAACAUUGAUUUUUAUUGAUCAUCUAUCUAAAUGAAAAUUCCCAAGUUAAAUAUAGAAAAUUAAAUUUUGUCGACAGAAUGUUAUAAAAGGAUGCGAUAGACGUUAUUAUGCAUUACAAAUAAACAAGUCUGUUACGAUGAUUAUUGCUUUUACAAAUAUGUAUACUUCAUAUAUUACUGGUAAGUCUUUAUUCUAUAUUGUAUUCAUCAAUCACGAUUGUGUUUGUAUAACGUGACUUUUGCAUCAAAGAACAAAUCAAAAUAGGGGCGAGAGAUACCAAAGGGACAGUCUGUCUGGCGACAGAAGAAGAAACAAAUUUUAUGCCAUUGUAAACUAUUUUGUAUGGCUUUAAAUAAAAUACUAAAACCAUAACUCGCGGAUAAUUGUUUUUUUUUCUAAAUGUUUUUAUUUUUUCUAUUUUAUUAAAUCUUCUGUAAUUUAAAUUUUCGAAGUUAUCUCAAUAUCAAACUAGGGAAAAUAUAAACAAUAAAGGGUGAGCAUCUAUUUAACAUUUACCAGAAGGUUUUAGAAGCUGCCACAAAAAAUAAUGAACUUUAACAGUAUCUGAAUUCUGAUUUAAAAUAAAAACUCUUCGAAGAAGAAAAUUUUAUACGCAAGUUUUUUGACUGGCAAACCUGGCUCCAUAAAGUAAAAUUUGCGAACAUAUCUUUUACAUCCCAGAGUUUGCAGGUGACUAGAAAUACAAAGAGUCGUGGUCUUGUGGAAUAUAAGGAUACACGUUAAUGCGUAUCUGUUGUAUCUAUUUCAAUCGCUUCAAAAGUGCACUUUAUCAUGAUGAUGUUACAUUGGCCUUCAACAUUUUUGUUUAUCCCAGCCAUCAUGUUAUCAUUAUGUCGAUUUAUAAUAUUCUAUGUUUAUAACGGCUAAACUCCAAAUGAGCACUAUAUUAUAAUACAACAUCCUGUUAGUCUAAUUUUAUGUUUAAACCGCACACCUUAAAGUGAGUACCGAAAAUGACUGAUUUUUCAUUUGAUGACUUUUAUGUGUCUAUGGUAAAUGAUAUUCUUAAACAUAAAUACUGCACAAAAAGUCCUGAUUUUACAAAUAAGGGGUUGUUUGAUCAGACAGCUUCCAUCAAAAGCAAAAUUACAACGGUAAAAUCCGCUCCACGUCUCCUUUCGGCCUAACUAGAAGAGAAGGAAUACAUGUAAAGAAAUUCUCGAUGAUAAACCCAUGAUAGCUAGCAAGAUGAGAAAUUAUCAUAAGAAAACCAAUUCUGAAUAUGCGUACACACUCAUAAUAAUUGUGCACUAAGAUGGUUAUAUAUAUAAAUAAGUGAAAUAAGAUUUUUUUCGUGCAGGACGUAAAGAACAGAGGGUGCUAUAACAGACUAGCAGACCUGGUGUAAGUAUUUAAAAAAUAAUCCUUACUUUAAUUGUACUCAUUCAAUAGACAACUUUCGAGUUCGAUGCAUUUCUGUCAAAAACUCUGGUUUAAGUGAACAUCAUUCGUACGUUUAGGGGCAUCGUCACUUCCAUUCCAAUGUUGAGCAAGUGGUUGAGAAACUAUAAUGUUAUAUUACAUGAAUUAUUCGGAAAAAUUAAAUUCUCAUAAUAGACAAUCAGCACUGCUGUCAUUUGGGAAUUGUAAUUAAGUACUCACAAACAGAUAGUAUUUGUAGUUUAUCCUGCACAAUGACGAUCCCUGAGACGCUUGAUGAACGUUAAUAGUGCAGGGAUACAGGCGACUCCCUCUAUCUGGUAAAUAACGUCAUAAAGGCGCGCAUAAUUGACGAUUUUUUUACCGGAUGAACUCAAAAGUGGUCUAGUGUGACGUGAUCGAUUAUAAAUCAACAACACAGCAACGAGUUGUUUCCGGUAAUCGGAUCUACUUUACCUCAAUUCAAUUUCGGUCUAAUUGCAAAGUCGUGAAAAUCAUUAAAUGUUUUUCGCAUAAAAAACUUUCCCCAAAUUUUUUUUUUAUUUAUUUUAUUUGUAUUUGACUUCAACCUCAACAAGUAUUAUUUUUUUGUCUGGAUGCAGUAUCUUUUGUUUCUAUUAAAGUUGUUAUUAGUUUUAUGGUAUAUAGUUAAUUAUUUUCCUGAAACGUAGGAUUUAGAUAAAAUUUGUGUCGUUUUGUCCUGCUUUCACCUCAAAUUUUUAUACAAGCAUAUUAAUAUUAUCACCAUGUUUUUCCCUCCGGUAGAAAUAUCCAUUAAAUACAGGUUCGAAUAUUUGAUAUUACCCCCACCGUUAGCAUUGGGAUUAUAAAGUCAAAGACUCAAGUAAGUACUGAGUGCCAUGCGCUUUGAAGACGAAGCGCGCGUCUGGUGUAUAUAUACUAAAUUUAGUCCUGGUAUCUUUAAUGAGUUUAUUUACAACCACUGGGUCGAUGCCACUGCUGGUGGAAAUUUAUUUCCCAGAGGGUAUUACAAGCCCAAUAGUCAGCACUUUUUGUGGUGAGAUGAAUUAUCAUUGAUAUGGUUAUAUUUAUAAAUUUACUGUUUACAAAUUUUUGUUUUUUGUUUUAAAUACUAAGGCUUCUCUACGUCAGGCAUAGAUUACCUUAGUUGUAUUUGGCAAAACCUUUAGGAAUUUUGGUUCUCAAUGCUCUUCAACUUCGUACUUUAUUUGGCCUUUUUAACUUUUUUGGAUUCGAGCUCACUGAUGAUCUUUUUGUAGACGAAACGCGCGUCUGGCGUAUAUACUAAAUUUAGUCCUGGUUUCUAUAAUGAGUUUAUUUGCAACAACUAAUUAAUGGACAUGAUGCGAUAUCAUUUGUCUCCAUACAACAAACUCCACUUCUCCUGUAGUAAUAUAAAAGUCCCCCUUGGAAAUUUUAAGUAUAAUCAAGCUGAAAUAUAUCCCUGAAAAAACAUCUGAUUUUUCAACAGUUUAUAUUUCUAUGAGUUCCGAGGCUUUUGAAAUUAAAUCAAAACUAGCUAGCUUUUACUAUAUUUAUGUACAGAAAAGAUCGAUGUAUUAAUUCUAGAUCGCGUAGAAUAACAUAAUUAUGAAUAUCUUUAAAAAAAAACUGAAAAAGAACCACGAUGCAACUGAAAAUGCACUAUUAGAUAUGAUUUAUUGUAUUGACUUUGCUAAUAUUGGUAGGAAGCAUUUCAAUGUCAAUAAUGUGAUUUAUUUGAUAGCUUUCGCUUAAUUUUGUUUCAUUCUUAAAAAAAUAUGUUAUAAAAUAUAAAGAUGUCGUAUAAAUUGAAUACUAUUUUAAUUUUUACCACGUUAUCUUAGUGUUGAAUUUUAUUUGUAAAUAAUCAAUUUUCUUUAGUCUAGAAUUUUUUGUUUAUUGAAGGACUUUUUGUCUGAUUUCAAUCUAACUGAAAAUUGAAAAAAAAUAUUUCAAUAAGCCCUCGACGCGAUAUAACAUUUUUGUGUUAAUGCAGCGUAAAGUAAACAGCAAUCAAUCAACCAAUACAAAUAGGGCGAUAACAUAACGUAUCUUUUUAUUUAAUUUUAUAUGAAAAAAAAAAUUUUAAAUGUAUUUAAAUUUAAGUUGACAUUUACCAAAAAUUGAUUGAUAAACAAAAGGACAUUUAUUUCAUUUACAUGUUAUGCACUAUUUUUUAUUAUCAGCAAUGACAGCUUUUAGUUUUUAGCAGUUUAAACGUAAAAAUAUACUGAAGAUAUUUUCUUUUUCCUACGUCGUUCUUUUAUAUAAAAAAACAAAAAAAAAACUCAGAUUUAUGAAAAAAUGAAAUGGCAUUUUACCACAAAUUUGUAUUAAUAUAUCAAUGAUUGAUUUAUUGAUUGUUGGUUGCUUAACUUCCAGUGGCAAUAUUUCAUGCAUGCUCAGGACGAGAACAAGUUAACAAUAAAUACAAUAGGUAGGUCUUGUCGUAAAAAAGGCCAUUCAGGAUGGUGGUCGCGAAAUUUGGACUGCCACUGGAAAAUGAGGGUAUGUUGGAUAGGGUCAGAAAUUUUGCCUGGCAACAGGCCACCUACGAUCCUCUCAAAGAGUUGUUGCAAGGCUUUUUAACGUGCAAAGAGCGUGGCACUCUCUUCACACGAGUCAUCUGAUUUAACGUCCACAAUUCUGACCGGACGUGAAUGCGAACUUGAUACUUCCCGCACUGCCAAACGGAUGCCCCACUUCGGAAAGCGUUUUACUGCCGGUCGGGAGAAGACCAAGUGACCAUAUUUCGUUUCCCCAGUCACCCUUGUGGGUUAAUAUAAUGAUGUGAGAGGGAAAUGCAAUUGUAAUAUUGAAUCCUCUGAAUUAUUUUAAAAAAUGUACUAACUUUGUAUUAAGUUUUAUUCGUUAUCUUUUUCUCUUAUGAUUUGUUUGUAUCUAUUUUCUUUAAUCAUAAAUGAUGUGCGAUUAGGUAUAUUUCUCCAGAUCCCCGUCUUGUAAAGCGGUUAUACAUUUGUUCAUUAAAUCACUACCGUGUUUACAUAUAAAUUAUAAUACCUGUGUCGAUCCUAAUUUUAGAAAUCGCCUUAAUUUGUUAACAUAUUUGAAUUAGAUAUCUUGCGAUAAAGCCUUUUUCCGCUAAGGCGACGUAAAGCAAAUACGAGCCAAUAAAUCAAGUUUUUGCCGAAAGAACCAAAGAUGGAGACAGUUAAUUAUGUGUUUGUUGAAAUAAUGAAUUUGUUGUAUUAGUUAGAUUGUCUGAUUUUUUAAAAAGGAAAACAUCUUGUUAUUAUAUUUAAAAAGCUCACACCGCGAUGAAGCCCUAAUGUACUUGCAUGGUUUUUUAUGAUAAACUAUAUAUCUGAUGCAGCUUGAAGCAAUUACCAAUCAAUUAAUUCGGUAGUAUUAUAACAUGUAUAAUAUAUCAGCCAGCCUUUAUCAUCAUGUCUGCGCAUUUGCAGAGAAACUGUAUUGAUUAAUUCGGUAGAAUUAUAAUACAUUAGCCUUUAUCAUCAUUCAUGUCUGCGCAUUUGCAGAGAAACUGUAUUGAUUGAAUCAUAGUCUCCGUAUGAUUAUGAAUGAAAUAUUCUUAAUCAAACGUGGAGAAACCAUCAAGUAAUCAGUUAUGAUAGUGCUUAAUUUAACGGAGCCUGUAUUAAAUUAAGUGCAAACGUAAUAUUUUAUCUAACAAUUGCCAUCUUAUUCUAUUUUAGGUUCGAUAUGAACAAAGCAGAAUAAAGUCUCAAUGUAGGACUUUAACACCAUGAAAAUAUUCGUCUGGUGGAGGAACGACGUUUAAAUCAUCGACUAAAUACCUCCACGUUUCACAAGUGUCAUAUUGACUUUGUCAAAGACUUCCUUGGGUUUUUGUAUUUCUAUUUUUAUAUUUAUUUAUUUAUUUAUUAAUGAAAUGCACAUUUAUACCCCUGGGGGUUGAAGCAUAUACAACAAUACAAUACAUACACAAUAAAAAAUUAACAUAUCAAAUAUAUAUAAAGUGGUAAAACAGUAAUAUUUAUGCAGGCGUUGUGUCCACUCC
This 12478-nucleotide long non-coding RNA is filed under the name Mytilus galloprovincialis (Mediterranean mussel). Lineage: Eukaryota; Metazoa; Mollusca; Bivalvia; Mytilida; Mytilidae. The record is from RNAcentral.